CUCCGGGACUCAGUGAGGCUCCCAGGACCCGGGGCUGCGCUCCUUCAAAAUAAGAGCCCGGAGCCAGGCCUGCGAGGCAGCUGGCGCUGGAGGGAAGGAGGCGUGGCUCCGGCCUCCAACUCAACCCCCAGGACUGUUUUCUCAUCAACAUUAUAACAAAGGGACACUGGACAUCCUUCAAGGAACCUGCUGUACUGACUUUGGACUACUGCUAAGAAGUUAAAAUGGGAUGCUUUGGGGACAGCACUGCCACCAAGUUGCCGAUGCUAUCAUGAUUCACCUGAUUUCUCUGGGCAGAAGACCUCACCAAUGUGUCCUGAAACUUCACCUCUCCAGAGCCCUACCCCAUUAGGGAAAGACAGAAACUGGCUGGGGCUAUGAAUCUACCUGCCAAUGCUCAUGUCCAGCAGAGAAGCAAUUACAGAAGCCAGAACUCCCACCUUCAGCACUUCGAAAAUAAUUUUGAUCCAUAUUCCCAGUAGGGAAGAAUUAAUAGGAGGAAGAUAACCAGAGGCCUCUGAACGCCAACUCCAUCAGGAACUGGAGAGAGAAGAGAAAAAAAAACAAAAAAAAACGGAGGGACAUUUGGAUGUAGUAAAAGAUGUAUGUGUGACUUGGAAAGGAAGAGAAGAUGGGACCACAGGGGGGAUAAAAGAGAGGGGGAAAUAUAUACAAAUCUAGACAGAUAGUUGUAGAAAUAAUAGUUAACCCAUAUCUACAACCUUAAGAAAACUUCUGCAACUUACAAUGGAGGGACUGGGGAUUCAGAACUCUAGUGGUGAAAAUGGUUCUGUGUUAUACCCGUUAUUUUGUAAUUUUGUAAAUCAGUAUUAAAUCACUAAAUCAGAAAAAAGGAGUUAGAAUAAGACUAGCAUUUUUAGCCAUUAUUUCUAUUUGUUUUUCACACCCCAUUUUACACCUCUGAUACUCAAACAUCACCCAAAGGAAUAUCCUCUUUCCUUUGAAACCUUAGCAUUCUCUAAAAUUUGUUUCUCUUAAAGUUUGUGCACAUAUUUUGAAAUCAGUUAGUUAAAAAUACUUCU
Long non-coding RNA from Erinaceus europaeus (western European hedgehog), 1043 nucleotides. RefSeq lists it as uncharacterized. The transcript is spliced from 3 exons. The record is from RefSeq and is a predicted model, not a curated record. NCBI's taxonomy places the organism in Eukaryota, Metazoa, Chordata, Mammalia, Eulipotyphla, Erinaceidae.